Molecule: long non-coding RNA, 972 nt
Organism: Lepisosteus oculatus (spotted gar)
Lineage: Eukaryota; Metazoa; Chordata; Actinopteri; Semionotiformes; Lepisosteidae
Source: RefSeq, a predicted model, not a curated record
UUUGUGAACAAAGUCCUGUCUAUCUUCAGAAUAGAAAUCUCCGACCACUGACCAAACUCCAUUUCCAAACCGCUGCCUAUUUGUACUUUCUCCCGAAAGAAACCUCUUCAUUUCAGGCCAUCGGUGACUUAGGAGCGGGUAGUAGCCAUUCUUUUAAAAAUAAAAAAGCACAAAUGGGAAAGUGGUCAUGUCUGGGGGGCACUGGGGCCUACAGCUGAGGAGAGUGUGAGGAAUUAAAAUGAAACUGCCAGUUUCUCAGAGCCCGUCUACAACAAAAACAGGACAGGCUCCGGCUUCCCCAUGACCCUGAACUGGAUAAAGCAGUUGGACGACGGAUGGCUGGAUCCAGUGAUCUCCAUGAUGGACCACAGUUAUUGCAGUAAUCCAGUCCAUUCCAGUUCUAGCUGAGCACAGGGGGAGCAUGACCGCCUGGAUGACCCCUGUCAUCAAUCAGCACAAAGAGCUAAGGUCCCCCACUUCCCCCACCAGCCUCUCUUAUCAGUUGACUUUGUUGGAUUUCAAACCCGAGAAACAGAGGUUGUUGCUACAGGAGCCGCCAUAGCUGGGUGGACAGGCGGAGCAGGGCCGGCCCAUCUUGUAGGGAGCCUCUCCAAUCCAGUUACCCCUGUGGAGACGACAAGGGGCAGCCUGUCAACAAAAUGUCUGCGGAACGCCACCAGUUGGAGUACUUACUGCUGAAACCUAACGCGCCACCCUGACAGUGCACGGCCAGUUGCCUGCUUCUGGUGGGGGAAGCCAUCUUCCAGUCGGACACAGCCCAGACUGCAAUGAGAGAUCUCCGGACUACAGGGACCCAACCUGCAAUCCCCAUACAAAGACUUUUCCUAACCCAUGACUUUGCCCUUUAUGCUUCAUUUAUGCAUACAAGGGCAGUGCAGUGGCACAGUAGUUAGCAUUGCUAUCUCACAGCCCUGGGGUCCUGGGUUCAGUUUUGGACCUGGGGGUGCUCUC